This 551-nucleotide long non-coding RNA is filed under the name Cavia porcellus (domestic guinea pig). Its description in RNAcentral is "lncRNA (ENSCPOG00000035283.1)". The record is from RNAcentral. Lineage: Eukaryota; Metazoa; Chordata; Mammalia; Rodentia; Caviidae.
GCCGAGUUCCAGCCAAUCACAGGCAUCCGCAGAACCCGGGACGGAAGGAACAUGCAGUUUCAGACUUAACUUUCGGCGGGCUCCCGGGUUCCCAGUGCUUCUUUGCUUAAGCUGCUAAGGGUAACAUAUUAACAUAUUUCACCGAUGAGGAAAUGUCGCUUGCUUCCGUUCUGUGCGUCGUGGACAGAUGGCGUCCCAAAGCACUGAAGCUCCUAGAGGAUACGUGUCAGUAUCCUGCUCUGGAAAAGAUGCGGAUGGCUGUUUUCCCAAACUCCGUCCUUGGGUAUCUGCUCACCCUUAUGCUUCUGCAGCUGCCCACACUGGAUGCAGCUCCCUCUUACCCAAUUUGGAGUUUCUCGAUGGUUGCAGUAUUCCUGGGACUCACUGGAAUAUUUGUCUGUUGGCAACUGUAUAGAAAACGUGUAAAGAAAGAGAGAAAGGAUGAAACUAGUCCCCUAGCCUAUUAUUUUUCAGAAUCUUCAGAACUGAAAGGGAGCAUAAACGCAUUGAUACGUGCAAAGGUUGAAGAGAAGAGAGGCUUUUCCUACUGA